GACGAACGCUGGCGGCGUGCUUAACACAUGCAAGUCGAACGGAAAAGCCCAGCUUGUGGGGGGUGCUCGAGUGGAACAGGGGUGUGUCACACGAGAGUCACCUGCCCUAGACUGGGGUAUAACUGGGGGAAAGUGGGGCUAAUACGGGAUGGGAGCUCAUGGUGCGUGGGGGGUGGGGGAGAGUUUCGGCGGUUGGGGAUGGACUCGCGGCUUAUCAGCUUGUUGGUGGGGUAGUGGCUUACCAAGGCUUUGACGGGUAGCCGGCCUGAGAGGGUGACCGGCCACAUUGGGACUGAGAUACGGCCCAGACUCCUACGGGAGGCAGCAGUGGGGAAUAUUGCACAAUGGGCGGAAGCCUGAUGCAGCAACGCCGCGUGCGGGAUGACGGCCUUCGGGUUGUAAACCGCUUUCGCUAGUGACGAAGCGAGAGUGACGGUACCGGCUAAAGAAGCACCGGCUAACUACGUG
Molecule: ribosomal RNA, 468 nt
Filed under: uncultured bacterium
Lineage: Bacteria
Description: partial 16S ribosomal RNA
Rfam family: Bacterial small subunit ribosomal RNA
Source: RNAcentral